RNAcentral lists this ribosomal RNA (119 nucleotides) under Eurypyga helias (sunbittern). Lineage: Eukaryota; Metazoa; Chordata; Aves; Eurypygiformes; Eurypygidae. The record is from RNAcentral.
GUCUAUGUCCAUACCACCCUGAGAAUGCCUGAUCUUGUAUGAUCUCAGAAGCUAAGCAAGGUCAGGCCCAAUUAGUACCUGGAUGAGAGACUACCAAGAAUACAGGCUUGCUGUAGGCU